AUUAACCGUGUCAUCCUUUCGGGAUGUGAAAACCCGGCGCAAUUCUGGGCGGAAGGACAAGGAACGGGAGACCAAACAUAUCUUUGCUCGGUAAGCCCGAGUUCUGACGAAGUGUCCCACAGACCUGUGACUACCACCACAGUCAGCAGGUUCAGCCAGCACCUGUGCAGACCCUGGACCUCCACACUGUCAAGAAAUUGCAUUUUCCUGUGAAAUGCUGCACAAUCCGAACAGCGCUACAGGUGAGAGUCCCUAAAGGGAAUCAUGGGCAUGAAGGAAAAUGACCCUGUGGACAUAUCCAACACAUUGGACAUUAGCCCAGCUUUCAAAUGCAUCUCUCAGUUAGCUUUGGAACCUGCUGCUGGGAUUUCCUCCUGGAUCCCUCGAACCAGAAAGAAAGGGGCAACCAUUUUGAUCAUCCUCCUUGAACCGGCCACACCUCAGGUGAGAUAUCGUGGUGACAACUCAUCUAGCAACACCAUUACCCAAAGGUACUGGCACAGUCUGUUUUGGUAGUACACAUGAAAACAAACAAGGAAAGAGACAGAAAACACAGGCAAUUCCUUGGAUGUCGUGUUUUGCUGAGGCUAUAAAGUGGAGGAGGCAGAGAUUUGUUGGGAUUCUUGCUCAGCACACACAGCCCAA
Long non-coding RNA from Chiroxiphia lanceolata (lance-tailed manakin), 645 nucleotides. RefSeq lists it as uncharacterized. Lineage: Eukaryota; Metazoa; Chordata; Aves; Passeriformes; Pipridae. The record is from RefSeq and is a predicted model, not a curated record. The transcript is spliced from 5 exons.